RNAcentral lists this ribosomal RNA (459 nucleotides) under uncultured bacterium. Its description in RNAcentral is "partial 16S ribosomal RNA". It matches the Rfam family "Bacterial small subunit ribosomal RNA", at positions 338 to 795 of the family's 1533-position model. The record is from RNAcentral.
CCUACGGGUGGCAGCAGUGAGGAAUAUUGGUCAAUGGGCGCGAGCCUGACCCAGCCACGUAGCGUGAAGGCUGACUGCCCUACGGGUUGUAACCUUCUUUUAUAAAGGACUAAAGUGAGUCUCGUGUGCCUUUUUGUAUGUAUUUUAUGAAUAAGGAUCGGCUAACGCCGUGCCAUCAGCCGCGGUACUACGGGGGGUCCGCGUGUUAUCCGGAUUUAUUGGGAUAAACGGGUGCGCAGGGGGAAGAUCAAGUCAGCGGUAAAAUUCAGAGGCUCAACCGCUUCGAGCCGUUGAACCUGGUUUUCUUGAGUGAGUGAGAAGUAGGCGGAAUUCGUGGUGGAGCGGUGAAAUGCAUAGAUAUCAGGCAGAACUCCGAUUGCGAAGGCAGCAUACCGGCGCUCAACUGACGCUCAUGCACGAAAGUGUGGGUAUCGAACAGGAUUAGAUACCCUAGUAGUC